RNAcentral lists this long non-coding RNA (339 nucleotides) under Vigna radiata. RNAcentral's name for it is "long non-coding RNA (VRAD_LNC012343)". The record is from RNAcentral. Lineage: Eukaryota; Viridiplantae; Streptophyta; Magnoliopsida; Fabales; Fabaceae.
AGCUUUCGAUAUAGAAAUCAGGUGCAGCCAUCUCCCUAAAAGUCCUCUCAUGAGGUGGAGGUUGUGCCAUAUUGUUCUCAGUGUGAAAAACAACAGAGUCAGAAUUAGAAUCAAGUGCAGAUGCAACAGAUGCAGUGGAUGCAGUAUGCACAGAGUACUCAGCAGUGGGAUGCACAGUAUCUAAUGGAACAGACUCAAACUCAGACUCUAAAGACAAAUUCCUAAAAUGCCUAGCUAACCUAUGAAAAGUCCUAUCAAUCUCAGGAUCCUAUCCCGUGACGGCCCCCCUCACAAAAACCUAGGACCAAGUGUCACUAAAAAAUUGGGGUGGGGUCCACC